RNAcentral lists this ribosomal RNA (490 nucleotides) under uncultured bacterium. RNAcentral describes it as "partial 16S ribosomal RNA". It matches the Rfam family "Bacterial small subunit ribosomal RNA", at positions 30 to 507 of the family's 1533-position model. The record is from RNAcentral.
AUUGAACGCUGGCGGCAGGCCUAACACAUGCAAGUCGAACGGUAACAGGAAUAAGCUUGCUUCUUUGCUGACUAGUUUCUUACGGUUGAUUCAUGUCUUGGAAACUUCCUUCUUUCUUUUUAUCACUACUGGACCCGGUCGCUCAUACCGCAUCCUGUCGCAAGACCAAAGCGGGGGACCUUCGGGCCUCUUGCCCUCGGAUGUGCCCAGCUGGGAUUCGCUAGUAGGUGGGGUAACGGCUCACCUAGGCGACGAUCCCUAGCUGGUCUGAGAGGAUGACCAGACACACUGGAACUGAGACACGGUCCAGAAUCCUACGGGAGGCAGCAGUGGGGAAUAUUGCACAAUGGGCGCAAGCCUGAUGCAGCUAUGCCGCGUGUAUGAAGAAGGACUUCGGGUUGUAAAGUACUUUCAGCGGGGAGGAAGGGAGUAAAGUUAAUACCUUUGCUCAUUGACGUUACCCGCAGAAGAAGCACCGGCUAACUCCGUG